AGGAGGUUAAUUUGAGUAGUAAUAAAACUCAUCUUCUGUUUAGCCAGCUCCACAUGCACUAAACUCUUUGUCUUGAUAAAUUGGCUCUAUCUGGUCAGCAGGCAAGAAAAACCUAUUGGAUGGUUACAUGAGGACACAGCAAGAAAGCCCUUAUGAGACACUGAGUUCCGGCAUCUUGAUCUUGAACUUCACAGCCUCUAGAACUGGUUGAAGGCAAAUACUUGAAGUUGCAAUCGAAGGUCAAGAAAAUGGAAUCAAGAGGUCACAAUCCUUCUCUGAUGAUGGCUUAGAAAGCUGGAAGACACUCAACAUUGAAUCCUGGGGCUCUGUGCCAUGCUUGCUAGGAGAAACAGCCACCAUGAGUCCAUCUUUCAGAUCUCAAGUGAACAGUCAUUCUCCAGCUGGGAUUGAGAACAAGGGGAAGCUGGCCAUAGAGCCAGGUGACCAAAGAUGGAAGACAAAGGGUGGGCUGUGAUUCCCAGAGCUCCAAGCCUUGUUCUGUCUUGUCACACCAACUGUUACUGAUGAACAGGUUUACAAUCUUUGAGGCCUGGCUGACUCAUGGAACAACUAGGACAAGAAACAAAGACAAAGAACACACACCUGACUGGACAGAGAUAAACCAAGAGCUGAGAGUUUUGGAAACAAGGCUGGAGCUGAGGAAAAGGACUGGGAACACGAACCUGUACAAACAACAAAUUCUUACAACAGAAAACAAGCCACUCCUGGCCAUCAAGAAACCCACAAAUCUCAGAAGCAAAAGCAAAACAAAUGAAAAUACAAACCAAAUAGUCUCUAUUACCUUCAUGCCUGUUGGGUCCCAAUAAAGGAAUCAUUCCAAUAAA
This is a long non-coding RNA of Homo sapiens (human), 845 nucleotides long. Ensembl annotates it as ITGA6 antisense RNA 1. Its record names the gene ITGA6-AS1. Lineage: Eukaryota; Metazoa; Chordata; Mammalia; Primates; Hominidae. The record is from Ensembl.